This 242-nucleotide unclassified non-coding RNA is filed under the name Hevea brasiliensis (rubber tree). Lineage: Eukaryota; Viridiplantae; Streptophyta; Magnoliopsida; Malpighiales; Euphorbiaceae. The record is from RNAcentral.
GGGGACUUUAAUGCACUGCUAUCUAAUGAUGAGAAGAAGGGUGGUAGUGAUAGAAAUAGUGCUUACUGUAAUUUCUUUUGGUGUUGGUUUGAUUCUGCUGGUAAGAUUGACUUGCGUUUUACAGGGGCCAAGUUUACUUGGCGAAAGGGUUUGCUUUUUGAAAGAUUAGACAGGGCUUUAUGUAAUAAGGUGUGGUACGCCAAAUUUAAUGGAACAGUGGUGUCUUAUCUAGCUCGGGUUAA